GAUGAACGCUGGCGGCGUGCCUAAUACAUGCAAGUCGAGCGAACCGAUUAAGAGCUUGCUCUUAAGAAGUUAGCGGCGGACGGGUGAGUAACACGUAGGUAACCCGCCUAUAAGACUGGGAUAACUCCGGGAAACCGGGGCUAAUACCGGAUAACAUUUUGCACUGCAUGGUGCGAAAUUGAAAGGCGGCUUCGGCUGUCACUUAUAGAUGGACCUGCGGCGCAUUAGCUAGUCGGUGAGGUAACGGCUCACCAAGGCGACGAUGCGUAGCCGACCUGAGGGGGUGAUCGGCCACACUGGAACUGAGACACGGCCCAGACUCCUACGGGAGGAAGCAGUAGGGAAUCUUCCGCAAUGGACGAAAGUCUGACGGAGCAACGCCGCGUGAGCGAUGAAGGCCUUCGGGUCGUAAAGCUCUGUUGUUAGGGAAGAACAAGUGCUAGUUGAAUAAGCUGGCACCUUGACGGUACCUAACCAGAAAGCCACGGCUAACUACGUGCCAGCGGCCGCCGUAA
RNAcentral lists this ribosomal RNA (515 nucleotides) under uncultured bacterium. RNAcentral's name for it is "partial 16S ribosomal RNA". It matches the Rfam family "Bacterial small subunit ribosomal RNA", at positions 28 to 523 of the family's 1533-position model. The record is from RNAcentral.